UUCAACAGUUGUCGCGUUUUUCGCUGCUGCAAGAUCUAGCCCUGCAGUGUUAUCGAUUUUCCGACUACUGUCAAGGGAUUGCAUAGUAUGUUCGACUUGUAUUCUUUGUUGUGUCAGAAAGGUGUUCAUGUAUACGAACCGUGCACUGAUCCACUGCCUGCCGGUGCGCCUGCCUUUCCGUGUGGAACGCUUCCUUGCUAUAGCAUGGCACGCGGCUCGACGCCAAGCGCAACCAGCGCCAAUGGAUGUCCUACUCCAGCCACAAGUCGUACGAGCAGAAGCUCGCCUGCGUGAACGACAACAGCUGGACGAUGGCGCACGUUGCAGCGAUCGAGAUGGCGCACGCCGCCGUUUUCGGAGCGGGAAGCGGGAGAAGCGAGGAGGCCAAGCAGCCGAGGACAAACUGGCUUCCAGGUCAGCGAGAGAACGUCUCGCCGGAGAUGCUAUUCUUCCUGGUCUACUGCCGCACCACAUGCCAGUCCAAGUACCGCCACCGCCCUAAUCAAACGAACUGGCAAAGACCCCGCUGCGGCGAAGUCCUGAAGCAUGUGGCGGGCUUCGGCCGCGCAUUUGAGUGCCCCGCCGACUCUCCCAUGGUGUCGUCGGUGCCUAAGUGCUCGUUUUUUGGCACGUGAAGAAGAACGUGCCUUGUGUUUGAGGGCCUUGGUUGGCUGUGGUGUGGGGAAGUUGCGAUAGAUUUGCAAGUGAAUAUUUACAUUUUCAUAUUGAGCGUUUCCUAAGCUUUUAACUUUACUGUAGAAGUCGAUUACCUUUUUGUGUCUUUAAUUUGCCAUGUUCUUUUCCUUCCUUUUUCUUGAGAAAUCCUCGGAUGCGCUCUACUUUGCGCAUUUCACCUGUCAUACGUUUAAAUGUUACUAUACAUUUUUAUUGCUUGAGUCUUCUUUUAAAUCGUAGGAAGGCUAAUCAUGACUUGUGAUCCCGGAUGGAACCUUUCAAAUGGACGUUGUCGAAUAUCCUCUGGGUGAAACUAUUGUUUUUCACCGAAAUUGUUUGCCUGAUUUGCUCAACCCACUUGCUUCCGCGUCUUGAGCAGUGAGCAACACGGUACAUGUGGGGAUCUGUUGUGGAGUUCUGAACUAGCCACUUGAAGCAAGGCAUACGUACCGCUAGUGCUUUGUUAUAUCUAUUUCAUGCAUGACACAUUGAGGCGGCCAUAGAUAGUAUGCAUUACCACUAGAGUACACCGAUGUCUUCGCUGGCCAGACCAUCUUACGAGUACCGCUUUACUACGAUAAAUUGACUCAAUGAAUAGCUACGCUACUGCAAGCAGCCAGAACUCAGUGGUUCCUGCGUUGCUCUGGGUCUCAAGAGUUUUUUGCAUUUCUUGAUGUAGCCCACGCAUUCGGGAAUUCGCCAGCAUAAUUGUGAACAAAAGUGAGAAUUUUAUUUUGCCUUUUCAUUUUAUUCGGUGCUUGCACAAACUGUAGAAUGACUGACUUUAUUUUUGCGAAAGCGCUUAUUUUCUCGGAUAUUCUAGGACGCUUAAAAUUUGCUCAAGUGCUAUAAAAUGUAUGUAAUUAGUACGGGUAGCUCUUAAUAUAACUCGCUGGACGGUGUUCGGUGGGAGCGCAAACUGUGGGAAAUAUGCCAUCUUGUUAAUUAAAAUAGUGAAACAUCCGUAUAUGACAUUAUGAACAUUGAAAUUUCAUAUCGUCUUACGAAAUUUCGUAACCCAAAACAUGGUCGAGGCUGCACAAAUAAAGCUGCGUUGGCAAUAAUAUAUUUAGCAAGGUUUUAUAUUCCCGUUGUACCCGUUGUAAAGCUUGCUCGCAUAAAACUUAGCAAGUACAGAAAGGAAACAACCACGUCCCAGAAGCACGGAAACGAUGACUUCAUAUGUCGUUGUCUUGUCUAAAUAUGUUCACCGACUGGCGGCACUGUCCAUAAUUGGCGUCAACAGUACUUCCUCGCGUGUGGCGAAGUGUUUUAUAUUAUUGUCUCGAAGAUACAGUUUUAUAGGUUUUAUCAGAAACCGAACCACUGGAACAAACGAAAAUUUGGUCGCCAGUGGAGUCGCCAAGCUGUUCAGAUAUAUUUUUACACCGUCUUUAGGUUUACCAGCUGUGAUUUGGGGUGGAAGUAAACAUUUUGAGUAGCAACUACACAACAUGAGGGUAAAACCUACGUCUGUUCUCGUGCUAUUCAAUCUAAUCAGCCCAACAUCAUUUACUAUUGGUUAUUGUGCGUAGGAUAUCGAUUUCUGUUCCCUGUAACGGCCAUUGCAAAGUCGCAAGGCCGGUGUCGAUGGACUUGCUAUGAAUUUUUGUGUUCUCUAGUUGCGGAGGAACUUUGCUGUUCAAAUAAAGGAAUUGCUAUACAGCAUGCCA
Long non-coding RNA from Dermacentor andersoni, 2348 nucleotides. RefSeq lists it as uncharacterized. The record is from RefSeq and is a predicted model, not a curated record. Lineage: Eukaryota; Metazoa; Arthropoda; Arachnida; Ixodida; Ixodidae.